Molecule: long non-coding RNA, 1080 nt
Organism: Oncorhynchus keta (chum salmon)
Lineage: Eukaryota; Metazoa; Chordata; Actinopteri; Salmoniformes; Salmonidae
Exons: 3
Source: RefSeq, a predicted model, not a curated record
AGUCAUCAGUUGUCCGAGACUGUCAGAAACAACCCUGUACACAACGUAAAAAAGUGUGUAGACCUACAGAAUCACCGGCAAAGGAAGAAGCAGGCGCCGCCGGUACUGGCUGAAACCAUCCCUGAGAGCCAUGGCAUGGCAGCAGGUAAAGAUAGAACUCUUCCCGACCCUGUCAUCCUUGAGGCAGGAGUCACGGAUGAGGGAGACCCGACGCCGUCUGAGCCGGCAACCCUCUCCGAUUCCGAUCUACCUGCAACCCUCUCCAACCUGGUCAAUCAUACCUGAGAUCUAUCAUAGCACCACGCGUGAACAAGGCCGUGAACCCCAUUUCUUCCAGCACGACAGUGGACCAGGACAGAUUUCUUAUCUUCACAACGAAACCCAUCUAAGAAUUCUGUCGGCCAUGUGUUUGCAGAUGGAUCAUUCAAGAAGAUCCCAUCUUUAUGCCAGGAGGUGCACACCAUUCACAGGAUGCAACCCACCUACUUGAUGGAGUCAAUUGUUUAUGCAGCAGCCUAUAUUGUUAUGACAGAUAAGUCUGAGCAAACAUGUCGUUGCAACACAUAUACUUGUGCGUUCCAAGUGCUGAAGAGCCUGCGACCCACCACGUCAAGAUGUUCUACACACUCGCAUUUGUUCUGCCGGCUGACGCGGUGAAGUGUUUCAAGGAGCUGAAGGAAACGACAUUCUUUUAGGUACCGGAGCUGUCCACCUUUCUGGAGAACUUUGAGAAGACGUGGAUUGGCAGAGGAGAGCAAGCCCUGGAAUAUAACAUGGAAAUGUGUAACUACCACGAUGUUGUCCUACAAGACAUCUGGAAGACCAACAGCAUAGUGAAGGCCUGGUAUCGGUCACUUGGGUUAUUUUUUGAGAAGACCAGACAACCCACGAUCUGGGAGUUGAUUAACAACUUGUGACUCCUUGUGACGACUACUCAUUACCAAACUGUGGCCUAAAUGUUCUUACCCCUGCGUCUAUUUGUGUUUUUAAUGCAGGCACUUCUUUUUUUGCUAUUUUCCAUUUUCGAUGCAAACUUUUUUGUUAAACUAGGCUUUUUGUAAAUAAACUUUUCAUUGUAAA